Molecule: long non-coding RNA, 587 nt
Organism: Diabrotica virgifera virgifera (western corn rootworm)
Lineage: Eukaryota; Metazoa; Arthropoda; Insecta; Coleoptera; Chrysomelidae
Exons: 2
Source: RefSeq, a predicted model, not a curated record
CAUUAAUAAGUAAAUUAUUGGGUUUGAUAAAGAAAAUGAGCAGUUUGUUAUCUGCACCAGUGAAAUUAUGAAUCAAUAUUUUUACAUUAUGGAAAAAGAAACUCUAAACAGUGACUCUCCAAAAACUUGCACCACAGAAUGACACGUGAAAAUAAGCUAUAACCCAAGCUGGGCAGCAACUAUUAAGAAACAUAAAAUAAGCUUAAACAAUUUUUAUUAGGAUUUUUUCGAUUUUGGGCUACCUAUUUGUCAUUCAAAAUGUUAAAACUUCAUGGAUGGAUUUUGAAAAAAGAAUUUUCCAGUAUUUCUGGAGAAAAAUGAAGAAAAUGGAUAUCAAUCAAGAACUGUAGAAUGGGGUGCAAUGAAGGAUCAGGGAUAUCCGAGGUGAGAUAUGCCAUACAAAUAUACAACAACGGCAUUUAAAUGUAGAAUUGGUCUCAGGAACAAUUAUUAUUAGUAGAAGUAAUUGCUCACAAAAUUGAAAAGUGUUAUAGAUUUGGGAUCUGUCAUCUUAAAUCCCCAUUUUAUUGUAACUUAAAGCUCUUAUUACUUUUAUAUUUUUUCAAAAUAAAUAUUGUUUUAAAGAA